This 234-nucleotide ribosomal RNA is filed under the name uncultured Staphylococcus sp. Its description in RNAcentral is "partial 16S ribosomal RNA". It matches the Rfam family "Bacterial small subunit ribosomal RNA", at positions 106 to 334 of the family's 1533-position model. Lineage: Bacteria; Bacillati; Bacillota; Bacilli; Caryophanales; Staphylococcaceae. The record is from RNAcentral.
GUGAGUAACACGUGGAUAACCUACCUAUAAGACUGGGAUAACUUCGGGAAACCGGAGCUAAUACCUGAUAACAUGUUGAACCGCAUGGUUCAACAGUGAAAGACGGUCUUGCUGUCACUUAUAGAUGGAUCCGCGUCGCAUUAGCUAGUUGGUAAGGUAACGGCUUACCAAGGCAACGAUGCGUAGCCGACCUGAGAGGGUGAUCGGCCACACUGGAACUGAGACACGGUCCAG